RNAcentral lists this ribosomal RNA (527 nucleotides) under uncultured bacterium. RNAcentral describes it as "partial 16S ribosomal RNA". It matches the Rfam family "Bacterial small subunit ribosomal RNA", at positions 355 to 898 of the family's 1533-position model. The record is from RNAcentral.
UGGGGAAUAUUGCACAAUGGGCGAAAGCCUGAUGCAGCAACGCCGCGUGAGUGAUGAAGGUCUUCGGAUUGUAAAGCUCUGUCUUUUGGGACGAUAAUGACGGUACCAAAGGAGGAAGCCACGGCUAACUACGUGCCAGCAGCCGCGGUAAUACGUAGGUGGCGAGUGUUGUCCGGAUUUACUGGGCGUAAAGGGUGCGUAGGCGGAUGUUUAAGUGAGAUGUGAAAUACCCGGGCUUAACUUGGGUGCUGCAUUUCAAACUGGAUAUCUAGAGUGCAGGAGAGGAGAAUGGAAUUCCUAGUGUAGCGGUGAAAUGCGUAGAGAUUAGGAAGAACACCAGUGGCGAAGGCGAUUCUCUGGACUGUAACUGACGCUGAGGCACGAAAGCGUGGGUAGCAAACAGGAUUAGAUACCCUGGUAGUCCACGCCGUAAACGAUGAGUACUAGGUGUAGGAGGUAUCGACCCCUUCUGUGCCGCAGUAAACACAUUAAGUACUCCGCCUGGGAAGUACGAUCGCAAGAUUAAA